AGGGUUUGAUUAUGGCUCAGGACGAACGCUGGCGGCAUGCCUAACACAUGCAAGUCGAACGAGAAAGUUCCUUCGGGAGCAAUUAAAGUGGCGCACGGGUGGGUAACGCGUAGACAAUCUGCCCUUCAGUCUGGGACAACUUUUCGAAAGGAGAGCUAAUACCGGAUAACAAUGCAUGACACAAGUUGUAUAUUUGAAAGCUUUAUGUGCUGAAGGAGGGGUCUGCGUCCCAUUAGCUAGUUGGUAAGGUAAAGGCUUACCAAGGCAACGAUGGGUAGCGGGUUUGAGAGGACGAUCCGCCACACUGGAACUGAGACACGGUCCAGACUCCUACGGGAGGCAGCAGUGGGGAAUAUUGCACAAUGGAGGAAACUCUGAUGCAGCAAUGUCGCGUGAGUGAAGAAGGCCCUUGGGUCGUAAAGCUCUUUUAUGGGGGAAGAUGAUGACGGUACCCCAAGAAUAAGCACCGGCUAACUAUGUGCCAGCAGCCGCGGUAAUAC
RNAcentral lists this ribosomal RNA (500 nucleotides) under uncultured bacterium. RNAcentral's name for it is "bacterial SSU rRNA". It matches the Rfam family "Bacterial small subunit ribosomal RNA", at positions 8 to 526 of the family's 1533-position model. The record is from RNAcentral.